This 553-nucleotide ribosomal RNA is filed under the name uncultured eukaryote. RNAcentral describes it as "bacterial SSU rRNA". It matches the Rfam family "Eukaryotic small subunit ribosomal RNA", at positions 83 to 636 of the family's 1831-position model. The record is from RNAcentral.
GAAACUGCGAAUGGCUCAUUAAAACAGUUAUAGUUUAUUUGAUAAUGGAACGCUACAUGGAUAACCGUAGUAAUUCUAGAGCUAAUACAUGCUUGUAACCUGACUUUUCGGAAGGGUUGUAUUUAUUAGAUAUGAAGCCAAUAGGUCGAAAGACUUAUUGUGAGGAAUCAUAGUAACUGAUCGAAUCUCCAAAUUUGGAGAUAAAUCAUUCAAGUUUCUGCCCUAUCAGCCUUCGAUGGUAGUGUAUUGGACUACCAUGGCCAUCACGGGUAACGGAGAAUUAGGGUUCGAUUCCGGAGAGUUAGCCUGAGAAAUAGCUAACACAUCUAAGGAAGGCAGCAGGCGCGUAAAUUACCCAAUCCUGACUCAGGGAGGUAGUGACAAGAAAUAACAACUCGGGGUACUUCGGUACUUACGGGAUUGGCAUGAGAAAAAUUCAAAUCACUUAGCGAGGAACAAUUGGAGGGCCAGUCUGGUGCCAGCAGCCGCGGUUAUUCCCAGCUCCCAAUAGCCGUAUAUUUAAAUUUGUUGCAGUUAAAAAAGCUCGUUACUC